RNAcentral lists this ribosomal RNA (259 nucleotides) under uncultured prokaryote. RNAcentral describes it as "partial 16S ribosomal RNA". It matches the Rfam family "Bacterial small subunit ribosomal RNA", at positions 524 to 782 of the family's 1533-position model. The record is from RNAcentral.
UACGUAGGGCGCAAGCGUUAUCCGGAUUUAUUGGGUUUAAAGGGUGCGUAGGCGGCUUUUUAAGUCAGCGGUGAAAUUUUGCAGCUUAACUGUAACAGUGCCGUUGAUACUGGGGAGCUAGGAUUUGGUUGCUGUGGGUGGAAUGUGUGGUGUAGCGGUGAAAUGCUUAGAGAUCACACAGAAUAUCGAUUGCGAAGGCAGCUCACAAAGCCAAGAUUGACGCUGAGGCACGAAAGUGUGGGGAUCAAACAGGAUUAGA